Molecule: long non-coding RNA, 1457 nt
Organism: Astatotilapia calliptera (eastern happy)
Lineage: Eukaryota; Metazoa; Chordata; Actinopteri; Cichliformes; Cichlidae
Source: Ensembl
AUAAAUACUUAUAUUAAAAAAAAAGUCUGCGCUAAAUUAUUUUAUGUUUCUAAUUUAUAAUAUUUUGCUAUGAUUGACCUUUAAAUGAUGUAUUAUUACAGUAGGCAUAAAAGUUUCACAGUUCCCUUUGAGAAUUUCUAGUAUCUGCUGCUGACAACUUAUUUCCCCUUAUAUGGAGCCGUUGUUUUAUUUAAGAGUCCAUAUCUUCUUUUUUUUUUCUUUUUUAAAUAUAGUAGACACUCCACUGAAAAAUGUAAUAAUUGUUACAGUCAGUUUUUAGAGAAUUGCUGUAGCGGUCCCUGUGUAAAAGAGAUUUAAUAGUCUGCAUUGGGAAAAUGUGAAUAUAAAUUUUAUAUGAACAUAAAAUUCAGAAUUGGGAUCUGGCCCACCAAUUAAAGAUAUUACACCUGAUUAAUUACUUAUUUUAGUGCCUGGGGUCUUCUCCUCAAACGCACAUCUGCAUCUACCUUUUGUCUUUAUGCAGUCGCAAACAGCCAGGCCUAUAUGAUGCACUCCAUUGUAUAGCUGGGUAACAAUGGCACCAGCUGUUUCUGCAGACACAAAAAGUUGCGUGUGUGUGUGCUAAUAUUAAUAAACACACACGCGCACACGUAUACACACUGGGUGUGUUUCCCAGACGCAGAUUCCCGCCCUGCUUCCUAUCCGCGCUCAGCCGCUCACACGGUGCCUCCGUUACAGAUCUAUUCUUACAACUGCCUGAACCCCAUCCACGUUGUGUGAAAUCGGUGCGACCUCUCCGUCACAACCGACGCCACGCCGACCUCGUGACUGCCAAGACAUCUGCCCAAUAGUAGCUUGAAUUCUACGUCAUUCAGUCUUUCAAAGUCCAGUCAAAAACGGGUGGGCGGGAUUUCCGUGGGCCUGGUAUUCACGUUUGGUUGUAAAGGUAAGCCCUGGAUGGGAUUUUUAUUUUUUUUUAGUUUUCUUUUUCUUUUAUUUAAUCUUCACGUUUGGAUUUGAUAUGGUUUCAUACGUGCUGGUGUGCUACUGUGUCCGCUAAAAUAAACAGUGCUUGCCGGGCAGUGGUCGCCCAUUGCUCGCUUGUGUACAGCAGUGUAAAGUAUUCUAAGCAAGAGAACAACGGUGAUUUCCCUGUAGUACAGCAAUUGUAUAUAUAUUCUGAUUAAUGACAGUUAAAUAGUGGCUUUGACGAGGCACGUUAAAAACUGUCAGGGCAGCCUGAAACGUUUUUGUCUCUCUAUUACUCCUCUAUUGCUAAGUUACACGGUUGUAACUUUGCUUUCUGCAACAAUUUAGCCGCCUGUUCCCAUAAACAGGGGGUCAAUUAAAUGCUACUUAUAAGAAAAAUAUAAAAAUAAUUGAUGGCUAUUUAUAGCUAACUCAGGUGGAUCUGUUUUACCGUUCACGGUUAGAUGUCUUUACUGAAUGCAUUCUGCAUACUAAACACUGCUGCUUAUGGAAACACGCGUGGAGAC